Molecule: transfer RNA, 87 nt
Filed under: Minisyncoccota bacterium
Lineage: Bacteria; Bacillati; Minisyncoccota
Also listed under: 1 other name
Description: tRNA-Leu
Rfam family: tRNA
About the family: Transfer RNA (tRNA) molecules are approximately 80 nucleotides in length. Their secondary structure includes four short double-helical elements and three loops (D, anti-codon, and T loops).
Source: RNAcentral
GCCCGAGUGGCGGAAUAGGUAGACGCGCUGGACUUAAAAUCCAGUGUCAGCAAUGACGUGUCGGUUCAAGUCCGACCCCGGGUACCA